CGUGGCAAGGAAAUGCUGACACAGGACGGGCCACGUAGGCGAUCUGCGUGCGCGCAAUCAGACGGCCCAGAUCUGUUCCCACGCGCACGGACGGCCCAGAUUGCAUCGCAAUGGAUGGCCCAGAUUUAAUCCCAAUUAAAUCAUGAUCGGACGGUCCAGAUUUAAUCUUGAUAGACGGUUGAGAUUAAAAGGCAAAGGGUAUAAAUAACCCCACCCACACCUGACCACAAAACCCUAGCCGCCAGUGCCUCGUCGGAGAAGAAGAACCAGACGCCGGAG
RNAcentral lists this long non-coding RNA (279 nucleotides) under Carica papaya (papaya). RNAcentral's name for it is "long non-coding RNA (CPAP_LNC013900)". Lineage: Eukaryota; Viridiplantae; Streptophyta; Magnoliopsida; Brassicales; Caricaceae. The record is from RNAcentral.